GUGCUUGCUUCGGCAGUAUAUAUACUAAAAUUGGAACGAUACAGAAAAGAUUAGGAUGGCCCGUGCACAAGGACCACACACAAAUUCGUCAAGCGUUCCAUAUUUUU
This 107-nucleotide small nuclear RNA is filed under the name Procavia capensis (Cape rock hyrax). The record is from RNAcentral. Lineage: Eukaryota; Metazoa; Chordata; Mammalia; Hyracoidea; Procaviidae.